CCUACGGGUGGCUGCAGUGAGGAAUAUUGGUCAAUGGACGCAAGUCUGAACCAGCCAUGCCGCGUGCAGGAAGACGGCUCUCUGAGUUGUAAGCUGCUUUUGUGCGAGGGUAAACGCAGAUACGCGUAUCUUUCUGCACGUAUCUUACGAAUAAGAGUCGGAUCACUCCGUGCCGUCAGCCGCGGUAAUACGGAGGGUUCAAGCGUUAUGCGGAUUUACUGGGUUUAAGGGGUGCGUAGGCGGUCGGAUAAGUUAGAGGUGAAAUCCCGAGGCUCAACUUCGGAAUUGCCUCUGAUACUGGCAGGCUAGAGAGUAGUUGCGGUAGGUGGAAUGCAUGGUGUAGCGGUGAAAUGCGUAGAGAUCAUACAGAAUACCGAUUGCGAAGGCAGCUUACUAAGCUACGUCUGACGUUGAGGUACGAAAGCGUGGGGAGCAAACAGGAUUAGAUACCCUUGUAGUC
Molecule: ribosomal RNA, 460 nt
Filed under: uncultured bacterium
Lineage: Bacteria
Description: partial 16S ribosomal RNA
Rfam family: Bacterial small subunit ribosomal RNA
Source: RNAcentral